UUUCCUGCAAAUUACAUUAAAAGAGAUUAGAUGAGAAGGACAUAGCAUGUCUAACGUGCAAGACCAUGUUACUUGGACCUCUGGGGGAGAGAGGGGUGAUUCUUGAUUUUGCUUCACUAACAAAUUGUAAUGAGAAUCUUUUUUCAUCUUUCAGUAACAAAUUCCAAGUCCUUUAAAAAAAAAUGGAAAACAGGCCAAAUGCUUCCAAAUAAGUAUAAAUCUCAACUGAAUAUAAGCACUAUUGCAAGGAAGCCACCAGGAUGUCUCCACAUUAAUUUUGUGUGCAGCCACACUCUGUUCUGUCCAUCUUCUGAAUAACGUAAAGGUAACCAAGAGUCCCCUGCCCCAUCAGUUCUUACCUGGUUAAACAAGUCAAUAAUGUUUUCAAGCAUCUUAGCAGCUUUUCUUUUCUUUUCCUCCAGUUGUUCUGAUUGUUUUAUCUUCAUUUCAACAGCUGUACUAAACAAUGCCUGCAGCAAAAGCAUACAAAAUCAUUCUCAAAACACUAUCCAAGCCCUAAUCAUAAGUUCUAUUAUUCUACCCAGCCCACUUUUCCGUCUUAGUCAAUCUGGAGAAAAUGAGGGGAAAAAUAGUGGGAGCCUUAAAAUGUAUGAAAUUAAUGUAAGAUCACAUGAGAACUCAAAGAUAGUACCAGGGAAAAAAUUUUUAUUGUGGAUUAUAUAACUGGUAAUAAAAAUUUAAACAUGUGAUUACAAAGAAAAUACCACCGUGACAAGAGGUGAACACACACAAUGAGUUCAGGUUUUCCCUUCAACCAGCUAAAUCAUUUCUGUGCAACCAGGUUACUUAGAGCCUGUCUGUAUUCUUUUUACUUUGAAGGAUAUAAUUCACUGCAGCUAAUACAGUUUUAUUCUAAAACUUAAAGGUAUGAGCUAGGCAAAAUUAGAGAGUUCACAAUAUUUAUCAAAAUAUGGCGAAUAGUGCCAUGGAUACUUAUUACAAUAUAUAAUAUAGAUGCUUCUCAAGAGUCUCAUCUCAUUGGGAAACACCCAUUUUUUUUUUUUUUUUACUGCCUUCAAGAGGCCUAAAACUAAGCAAGAUUAGCAUACUAUGCUCAACUACUUGAUAAAAUACAUUUUUCUUGA
Cebus imitator (Panamanian white-faced capuchin) is the source of this 1106-nucleotide long non-coding RNA. RefSeq lists it as uncharacterized. Lineage: Eukaryota; Metazoa; Chordata; Mammalia; Primates; Cebidae. The record is from RefSeq and is a predicted model, not a curated record. The transcript is spliced from 2 exons.